UGUUAUUAAUUUCGCCGCCUCUUCCUCGCUCUCCACCACCCACACGGCCACACACAAUUCACAAACCGUGCGCGCGCGCGGCGAGCAUGGAGUGCGGAGCGGCGGCGUGGGCGCUCCUCGAGCGCGUGCGGCGCAGCGCCCCGCUCGUGCACUGCAUCACCAACCUCGUCUCCAUGGACCUCGUCGCCAACGCGCUCCUCGCCGCGGGGGCCUCCCCCGCCAUGGUCCACUCCCUCCGCGAGGUCCCCGAGUUCGCCCCCCGCGCCGCCGCCCUCGUCGUCAACGUCGGCACCCUCUCCGAGCCCUGGCUCCCUGCCAUGCGCGCCGCCGCCGCCGCCGCCGCCGACGCCGGCCGCCCCUGGGUCCUCGACCCCGUCGCCGCCUCCGCCUCCGAGUUCCGCAUGGACGCGUGCCUCGGCCUCCUCGCCCUCCGCCCCACAGUCGUGAGGGGGAACCCCUCCGAGAUCAUCGCCCUCGCGUCCGCGUCCCGGAUCCGCGACGCAAAGGGAGUCGACAGCUCCCAUGAGUCAAUUGAUGCCGUGGAAGCUGCCAAGUCAUUGGCACUUUCCAGUGGUGCGGUUGUCGCAGUAUCAGGAGCUGUCGAUUUUAUCACCGAUGGACAGAACGUGAUCGGUGCGCACAAUGGGGUGCCCAUGAUGCGGAAGAUCACUGCAACAGGAUGCGCGGUCACAGCCCUCAUCGCGGCCUUUGUUGCUGUAGAUCCAACAAACACUUUGGAAGCAACUGCUUGUGCUCUCUCCAUCUUUGGCCUGGCUGGAGAGCUAGGGAUGGAAAUGGCGAAAGGACCGGCCUCGCUUAGAAUGCACCUGAUCGAUUCACUUUAUGGACUCGAUGAAAAAACCGUAGCUUCGCGGGUUAAAAUUUUGCGGCACUCAUAAUUCACGGUGGCUCUUUUGCGAGAUGGGCUUGAUGAGGUUUGAAUUCAGGAUUGUACUCUGCCACCAUGUGAAACAACCGCUUUCUCCAAAAGCCGAAGGUGGUUUGCUAUUUUAUGCCCAGCACCAAAGAGGACAAACUAACAAGGAGAGCCUUAAAGAGCAACUGAGAGGUUGGAGCAGCUCUUCACUAUCAUAUGUGUGGUUCGCGCUGUGGAUGCGAACGCUGACAACGGUGAAUACACCGUCGACGUCGACGAGCAGCUGCCGACGUCCCACCGGAAGCUGAUCUUGCUCGAGUUCGAGCUCAUAUGGUCAUCAAGUGGGUCCUUAAGUGAUGCUCUGCUUUUGAAGUACAAGAUCUUCAACAAGAAAAGAGAAUGCUAUGUCAAGCUUAGAAAGCUGCUGCUGCCCACUUGAUGAGCUCCUUCAUCCGCGACAGCGCACGCCGCCUCUCCCCACUACGCCCGGCCUCCUUCUCCGACGAACCCUCUCCGCCGCUGUCCGCGCCGUUGGGCCCGGUCGCCGAGACCGCGUCGCAAAUGGGUGCAAAGUACUAUAAAACCAAGCCCUGCUUUUGCUCUCCUCACUCUCCUCCUCCUCAUCAUCAUCAUCAUCCUCCUCUCCGCCGUCCGAUUCGUCGUCUCGAAGGUACUUCACUACUUCAUCUGAUCAUCAUGAAAUAACAACCAACAACAAUAUGUGUCAGCAUGAUAGAUCCAUAUACAUACGCGCAUACAUAUAACCAUGCUCGUAAUAAGUUUAAUGAGUCAUUACCAGUGUUGCAGCUCCUCUCUCCCUUGUUUGUGACUAGAGUGUUCUUUGCCCCAGGAUGAGGUGAUGAUCUAAAUAGCCAUUGCAGAAUCUAGCAAUGAUUAAGCAACGAAAACCCAUCAUUUAUAUCUCGUUAACGUGGUUGCGACCGGUAUUAAUCAUUGUUUUAAGCCACAUGUAACUUUAGUAUAACUGUGCAACCACAAAUAAGACAACUAAACUACCUCUACCUGCAUGUUCUCCACCUGCAAUAUCUGUAAGGUUGGAAUCUUAAGUAGGUGGUCAAAGUAGGAAUAACACUGGUGAUAUAGAUAUAUAUAAUUAAGUACUAGGGUUUGAUUAUUAGGGCAUUAAAAGCCAUAGAAAAAGAGCUUAAAAAUUAAGCUAACACAGAAGAGCAAAGGAUAAGAGUGAGUUGGCUAGGGUUUAUAUAUGCAUGUUGCAUAUGAGGUGGCCAUGUGUGUUUAAGCAUAUGUUAUUACUAAGGGGUUUAAUAAUCUUCUUUUUAAACUUCACAUGGGUGACAAGCCAUCUUACAUCAUUGAAUGUGAUAUUUUAAAAGUGCUUCUUAAAUUGCUUUUUUUUUUUGGCUUUGAUAAUUGAUUGAGAAUGGAUAAAAUUUGCUCAUGUGGGAGAGAGGGAUAUAUUCUUUUCUCUCUCUAGUUUUAGUGCAUGCACCACUUCUUAACUUAAACCCUAUUAUUAUGAAGGUGCAAAAUCAGAAUUUAAUUCAUUAGAUGUGUUAAGUGAUACUCGAAAGACAUUGUUUGAAUUUUUCUUUUCCGUAUUAUUAAUCGAACAACAUAUACUGAUGAUUUUUGGGAC
This is an RNA transcript of Ananas comosus (pineapple), 2495 nucleotides long. It is a transcript of the gene named hydroxyethylthiazole kinase, with no coding region annotated. Lineage: Eukaryota; Viridiplantae; Streptophyta; Magnoliopsida; Poales; Bromeliaceae. The transcript is spliced from 6 exons. The record is from RefSeq and is a predicted model, not a curated record.